AUUACAGGCGUCAGCCACGCGCCCGGCCACAAGCAUUAGUAUUUACUUCCGUAAUUUCCCCAUGCCCAUGUAACAUCACACACACACACACACACACACACACACACGUUUGCUUUUGUUUUCCAAGAUGGCAUCUAGUAGGCGCUUCUCUUUGUUUUGCUUUUCUAGUACACCGUGGAACCCCAAAUCCCAGCUGGGAUUCACUCUUUUCUAAUGGCUGAACAUUCAUCCGGGGCAUGAAGGCAGCUCAGUUCAUUUCAUCAUUCCUUUGUUUCCUCUGUUUUGCCACCAGAAACUGCCGCGAUGAAUGUCAGUCCCCAGAGCCGGAACCGUUCCCGGUUUUCUCUACUUGGAUCUGAGAACUCUGUCCCUCCAGCCCUGCGAGCGCUUUGCCAGGGUGACGGGCGGAAAUGUCCCCGCAUCCGUGCCUGCUUUCCCAGAUGGGACCCUCCAGCAGUCCCCUCCACUGCCCGUGCUUCCUCCUAACCACUUCCCCCCAGCGACCGCGGAAGGCGCUUCCUCCCCCGCAGCGCGAGCCCCAAGCUCCUCCAGAGCCCCAGCUCUCCCCGCCCCCUUCCCGACCUUGUUUCAUAUGACCCCUCCCCCGCACAUACUCAAUUUCGUCUUCCCAAGGCGCCCACUCUCCACAUCCUGAUGAAAAAAAGAGCCGGCUGCUGUCCUAUGUUAUUGUCAUACUUCUUUCCUCCCGUGCACUACACAACUUGAACAACUUUUUUUUUUCUUUUUUUGAGAAAAGGUCUCGAACUGUCGCCCAGGCUGGAGUACAGUGGCACGAUGAUGGCUCACUGCAGCCUCGCCCUCUCUGGGCACAGGUGAUCCUCCUGCCUCAGCUUCCCAAGAAGCUGGUACUACAGGCGCGUGCCACCACUAUUGGCUAAUUUUAAUUUUUUUUUAACCACAGGGUCUCGCUAUGUUGCCCAGGCUGGUCUCGAACCCCUAGGCUCAAGGGAUCCUCUCACCUCAGCCUCCCAAAGCGUGAGAUUACAGGCGUGAGCCACCGCGCCCCGCGGUAAAUACUAUUCCAAGGAAAUGGCACCUGAGUUUGAGGAGAUUAAUCGGGUUUACUGCAGGGAAGGAGCAUUGGCCCUGGUGGCCAGAGGCAAGGGUACGAACCUGACCCUGCCCUUUCCCUGCCUGGUUCUGCCUUCAGCAAAUUGUUCCACACAUCUCUGGUUUCCUCCCCACAUGAUCCCAAGGCCCUGCUGGCUCUAGCCUUUGUGAGGCUAGAAUUACAAUUCCAUUCCUCCCCAGCCACGCCCCAUCUCUUGCUCCCUGUGCUAGCGCUUUCCCCAAUCAGCCACACUUUCCUUUCCCAUUCACUGAGCCUGUGGAAAGCCCUCUUAUUCUGAAUAUCUAGAUCCUAUUCACCUUUGAAGACCCGACUUGGCCACGUUUCUUCCCAAAGCCUACUGCAUGCCCUUUGUGGGAGGAACUGCUCUGUCCUUGCAACGCCACUGUGUGUAGUACUUUCUCUGUAUCUUACCAGUGGCAUCGCCCACUCUGCCUGGGGUGCUGUUCCAUACUUGCCCUUCUUCCAGUGCCAUCUAUGUGUGUGGUAAGACCUCAGCAUAGCACUUUGCCCACGGUAAAGGAUAUGGUUUCGGGAGUCCCAAGACCCGGGUCCACGUCCCAGCUCUGACACUAAAUGUGUUAUCUUGAACAUGUCACAUGGCCUUUCUGAGCUUAAUUUCCCCAAAUGUAAAAUGGAAAUAGUAACUUAUUUCAUAGUGUUGCUGUGUUGAUUAGAUGAGACAUUAUAUAAGAAAAUGCUUUGUGAAC
This 1800-nucleotide long non-coding RNA is filed under the name Homo sapiens (human). RNAcentral describes it as "non-protein coding LINC01816:23". Lineage: Eukaryota; Metazoa; Chordata; Mammalia; Primates; Hominidae. The record is from RNAcentral.